UGGGGAAUAUUGCGCAAUGGGCGAAAGCCUGACGCAGCCAUGCCGCGUGUGUGAAGAAGGCCUUAGGGUUGUAAAGCACUUUCAAUAGAGAGGAAAAGCUGCAGGUUAAUACCCUGUAGCCGUGACGUUACCUAUAGAAGAAGCACCGGCUAACUCCGUGCCAGCAGCCGCGGUAAUACGGAGGGUGCGAGCGUUAAUCGGAAUUACUGGGCGUAAAGCGCGCGUAGGCGGUUUGUUAAGUCAGCUGUGAAAGCCCUGGGCUCAACCUGGGAACUGCAGUUGAUACUGGCCGACUAGAGUACGAGAGAGGGAGGUAGAAUUCCACGUGUAGCGGUGAAAUGCGUAGAUAUGUGGAGGAAUACCAGUGGCGAAGGCGGCCUCCUGGCUCGAUACUGACGCUGAGGUGCGAAAGCGUGGGGAGCAAACAGG
Molecule: ribosomal RNA, 429 nt
Filed under: uncultured bacterium
Lineage: Bacteria
Description: bacterial SSU rRNA
Rfam family: Bacterial small subunit ribosomal RNA
Source: RNAcentral